CAAGAUCAUACAGUUUUCUCUUAUUCACAUUAAGAAAACACAAUCAUGGUACAGUGAAGAUCUCGAAAAUGAGCGAGUAAAACAACAGACAAUCUCAACGUAGAAUCGUUUCUAAGGGCAUGAGACUAUACAGCAGCGUCAAGCUGACAAGAUUUACUAGGUCAUGAGCUUCGCAAACUUACCAGUUAUAGCACACGGAUUUAACUUGAUGAUGCUAUACAAGUUAUUGUUCAUAACAUGACCCUGGCCCCAGUGGAGGACGUCGAGCAUAAAAAUUGGUAACUGGAGCUGCUGGAACACCACGCCUUGUCAAGAGGCAUCGGAAGUACUCCAGCCUCUGUAAUGUAGUUGACGUAGUAUUUUUUGAUGAUGUGGUCUCCUUGUCGCUCCACAACCGCUCUGCUGCAGCUGCAGCCCGUGGCCAUAUGGUUUGUUGAACAUCUGAGGCAUCUGCGGUUUCUCCCCACAUGCAUACUUCACCUCCAAGUAUAAGUUUUUGCUCAGAGAUACUCUUUAUUCCUUCCAGUGGUUCUGCAUAAUAGACCUCCUCCCACGGGACAUCUAAGUGAUCGAGAUACCAAUAACCCUGAUUGCUAUAAAUGCAUCUAAAACCACUUGCAACUGCCUUUGCACAAACAUCACCAACUAACCAGUUAUGCACUACCGUUCGUGGGUUAAGUUUAGAUGGAAAAUUAUUGAAGGUUUCUUCCCAGUUAACAGGUGUCCAGUUGUGUGAUAUAGCUAUUUCUUGAGCUUUGAGUACAAAAUACUGAUAUGCAUCCUUUGCAGUCAUCUUAUGAUCUUGAAGCCAUUGUUUCACGUGUGGUGUAGUUGUCCAACAAGUUGUGUUGACCUCGUCACCGCCUAAGUGGAAGAGCUCAAAUGGAAAAAUCUUCCUCAUAUCAGCCAAAAUGCCUGAUAUCACAUCAAAAGUAUAGUUUUUUGAAACAUCUAAGGGCUCUUUACAAGAUGGAGAAGGCCAAAGAUCAGGGUACCCUGCACCCCAUGAUUCUGCAUGGCCGGGAACAUCAACUUCUGCCAUAACAUUGAUACCUCUCAUCUUUGCAAAGUCAACAAUUUCAAUGGCAUCCUCGAGAGUGUAGCGUUCCCACUUUGUAUAUG
This 1122-nucleotide unclassified non-coding RNA is filed under the name Hevea brasiliensis (rubber tree). Lineage: Eukaryota; Viridiplantae; Streptophyta; Magnoliopsida; Malpighiales; Euphorbiaceae. The record is from RNAcentral.